RNAcentral lists this ribosomal RNA (253 nucleotides) under uncultured bacterium. RNAcentral's name for it is "partial 16S ribosomal RNA". It matches the Rfam family "Bacterial small subunit ribosomal RNA", at positions 524 to 776 of the family's 1533-position model. The record is from RNAcentral.
UACAGAGGUGGCAAACGUUGUUCGGAAUUACUGGGCGUAAAGGGCGCGUAGGCGGUCUUGCAAGUCCUGUGUGAAAUCCCUCGGCUCAACUGAGGAACUGCACAGGAAACUGCUUGGCUUGAGUUCGGGAGAGGGAAGCGGAAUUCCGGGUGUAGCGGUGAAAUGCGUAGAUAUCCGGAGGAACACCGGUGGCGAAGGCGGCUUCCUGGACCGACACUGACGCUGAGGCGCGAAAGCUAGGGGAGCAAACGGG